CGCACAAGCGCACACACGCACACACACAGGCAGAGAGAGAAAGAGAGAGUUAGUUACUGGAUACUAUCCUAAGUGUUCUUACCUGGUUGUGGCUUCCUGCCUCCCACACAGGCAUCUUCCUCAGCUGCAUCCAAGUCCUCUCUGCCUGGGGAGCUUUCCUCAGUGAGCUUCUGCAGACCUUCCUUGGUUGCUGCUUCACAGACUGUGGCUGUGUUUUAAGGACUGCAGUUCGCUUGGUCCUUGGAAGGGACUAUUAGACUUGUUCUGGGCGUGGUGAUUCUAUUGUUUUUUUUACCUUUGAGACAAAGGACAAAGGUUACUUGUUGCAGUUGGAAAUAACAAUGGCUCCCUCGGCCCCAGGUGUCUGUGACUGAGAUGAGUUUAUCACCAGGACCAGCUGCUAAGGUUAACUGUCCAACGCUCUGUA
Molecule: long non-coding RNA, 427 nt
Filed under: Rattus norvegicus (Norway rat)
Lineage: Eukaryota; Metazoa; Chordata; Mammalia; Rodentia; Muridae
Description: long non-coding RNA NONRATT020084
Source: RNAcentral